Molecule: ribosomal RNA, 405 nt
Filed under: uncultured bacterium
Lineage: Bacteria
Description: bacterial SSU rRNA
Rfam family: Bacterial small subunit ribosomal RNA
Source: RNAcentral
GGGCCCGCACAAGCAGUGGAGCAUGUGGUUUAAUUCGAUGCAACGCGAAGAACCUUACCAGGCCUUGACAUCCUCGGAACUUUCUAGAGAUAGAUUGGUGCCUUCGGGAACCGAGUGACAGGUGCUGCAUGGCUGUCGUCAGCUCGUGUCGUGAGAUGUUGGGUUAAGUCCCGUAACGAGCGCAACCCUUAUCCUUAAUUGCCAGCGGUUAGGCCGGGAACUCUAAGGAGACUGCCGAUGACAAAUCGGAGGAAGGUGGGGACGACGUCAAGUCAUCAUGGCCCUUACGUGUAGGGCUACACACGUGCUACAAUGGCUAGGACAGACGGCCGCAAACCCGCGAGGGGGAGCCAAUCCGACAAACCUAGUCGUAGUCCGGAUCGGAGUCUGCAACUCGACUCCGUG